CGUAGUUAAAUCGAGACGCAAAAGAUACGUUAUUGUUAUUGGUUCCAAAACGUAGUAAGUUUCACGAGUAGCGUAUAACAUUGUUUUAAUACGAACGUCGUCAAUCGCGAUGACAAUUUUUAGCGAUGAGCCAAUACGAUUCCACUUUCUCCUCCCCAAAAUGUUUCGGUAAUCACUAUCGAAUUUAAUGCAAGUGAAAUUUC
Molecule: non-coding RNA, 203 nt
Organism: Cinara cedri
Lineage: Eukaryota; Metazoa; Arthropoda; Insecta; Hemiptera; Aphididae
Source: the annotation of a GenBank genome assembly